GGAGGAUCACGAGUUCAAAGCCAGCCUCAGUAAAGCCAGGCACUCAGCACCCCAGUGAGACCCUGUCUCUAAAUAAAAUACAAAAUAGGGUUGGGGCUGGGGCUCAGUGGGCGAGGGCCCCUAAGUUCAAUCCCUGGUACCAAAAAAAAGGGGGGGUGACGUCUUGGAGCUCUGUCAUUGUGCAAUGUCUGCGGUGGCCGUGCUGCUGGCCUGGUGGACAGGAAGAGGCCACAGUGAGGCCCUGGGGGUCGGGCGGCGGCUUCCUGGAUACCUGGUCCUCAGCACUGCCCAGUGAGAGGAGGCUGUCACUGGGAGGGGCUCCUGCCCUGAAGGCCACACCUCUGUGCCACUCCAAUGCGUCCUCAGGCAGCAGGGGCUGGGAGCAGGGGGCAGCCCACGUGGGCAGAGGACCAGGGCCUCUGUUCCUUCCUGGCUCCACCGCACCUGGGCCUCCGCUUGGUCAAAUCCAGGGGAGAGAGCACAGGACCAGAUGGGUCUCCGAUGUGACCUAGUGAUGCCACAUGCUUAGCCACAGCCACCCCAUCCCUGCCUGGGACCAGGCAGGCCCCAGCCACGUGGCUGGACCCUGCGGGCGUCUCUGGUGCCCCUGGUAGGAGGUGGAGUGCACCUCAGAGCCUGUGCACACGGGCGGGCUCCGGCCUGGGCCUCACCCCAGCCUUCUUAGUGUCCCUGGGGGAUUCCCCAGAGCAGGCCCCAGGGCUGUGGGCAGGCCAGGUCCUUCUGGGUGGCGUCCUGGGCCCUGAGGGUGCAGGGCAACAGUCCCUGCCUCCUCCCCUCCAGGCCAGGAGCUACCCAGUUGUGACAGCCAAACAUGUCCCAAGAGGUGGCCCAGGGUCCACUGGGGGCAGAAUCAGUCCCAUUUGAGAGCCUCUGGAUCAGGGGUCACCACAGUAAACACAGCCCAGCGCCCACUGGCUGAGCCACUCUGAUCCUAGACAGGACAGGAUGCCACGCCUGCCUGCCUGGGCAGCACUGCUGAGCGCCCUCCACCAGGGCUGGCCGCUCCCCUGACUGCGCCCCUCCCGAACCCUGUCCUGCCCCCAGUGCCCUGGGUCUGCCCCACAGCCCUGCUGGGUGGCAGCUCCUGCCGGCUGCGUCCUCCGCUCCUUCCUGAUGCUCUGCUCACCUGUCCCUGCCCUGGAGGUCAGCAGAGCUUUCUUCAGGUCCAGUCCUGGCCAACAGAGGACAGGCUACCUGAUGGCUGCCUGGGUCGCUGGGGGGCCUGUGCCUCCAGGGUUCUGGCUGCACACCUGGGCCCAGGUGCCGCUCACAGACCUGCCGCCCGCGCCCCACAGGCGCAGUCUAGGGUUCUCAGUGCACUGACUGUGGACGCUGCACAACCAUGGCCUCCGCCCAGCUCCCGGACAGUCCACUACCCCAAAGGAAGCCGUGACCCAUGAGUCUGUCCCCAGCCCUGCACCGCGAGUCCACGUCCCG
This 1458-nucleotide long non-coding RNA is filed under the name Marmota monax (woodchuck). The record is from RNAcentral. Lineage: Eukaryota; Metazoa; Chordata; Mammalia; Rodentia; Sciuridae.